UUACAUUUAGGUCUUUGAUCCAUUUUGAGUUAAUAUUUAUGUGUGGUGUAAAGUAAGGUCCUGAAUGUAUUCUUUUGUAGGAAAUCCAGUUGUCCCAGCACCAUCUGUUGGAGAGACUGUUCUUUCCAAGGGCCUUGGAACCCUUGUUGAAAAUCAGUAGGCCAUAAGUAGAUGGCUUCAUUUCUGGACUUCCAUUUCUUUUCCAUUGACCUAUCUGUCUAUCCUUAGGCCAGUGCCAUACAUUUUGAUUAUUGUAGCUUUGUAGUAAGUUUUGAAAUGGGGAAAUGACUUUGUUGUUCCAACUUUGUUGUGCUGGAUUGUUCUGGCUAUUCUGGAUCCCUUGAAAUUCCAUAUGCAUUUUAGGAUCAGCUUGUCAAUUUCUGCCAACAAGCCAAUGGGAUUUUGGUAGGGAUUGCUGUGACUCUGUAGAUCACUUGGGGAGAAUUGCCAUGUGAACAAUAUUAAGUCUUCCAAGUCCGUGAACACUGGAUGUCUUCCAUUUAUUUAGGAACAUACACAUUUUGAGCUAGCUAAAAUAAUAAACUUGGUCAGUGCAAUUCUGAAGCCAUGAAGUAUCCUGUUAAACAAGCCUUGUUUCAGUAUGCCCAAAAAACUUCCUAAAAUGUUUAAUCAUUUUAACCCACCUUUUAAAAUGCAGGUUCAAGUACAGAUGAACCCUUCUUGGAGGAGCUUUAAAAGCGUUGGCUAUUCGUGCAUUCAGUAGCUGUGUGAGUCCCUGCAACAUGCUAGUACUGUCCCAGGCAUCAGGGCACAGCAGAGAGCAAAACCAGCAAGACCCUGCCCACGUGGGGGCCAGGGGAAAGCCGGAUGAUAAAAUAUACAGGAUGCAUAUCUGGAGAUUGGUCUCAGACUAAGCAACUUCUGCAAGAUGAGAGCCAGCAAGUGCAGAGAGGGCUCAAACCCCGGCUGCCUGGCUGCCAAGCCCAUGCUCUUGAGCUUUUUUCAUGUCACUAUCUGUGUGUCUCACAUAAAGGGACAGGAAUACACCUUUUUGAUGUCAGGGGCACCGUCUUCACUAUCCAGAUGAAGCAGGUCACAUGAUCCCAGCUCCCAGUGCGGCACCUGAGGCUCCGGACUGGCAGAACCAGAGCACUCGGGGAGGAUGCGUCCUGAGCUCCACACAGCCAUUCUGAACCCACUUUGCUACGACACCGAGGAUUGGAAAGUGUGGCUCUGGAGAUCUCAAGAAACCUGCUCUGCGCAGGAGGAGAUAACAUUUAGUCUUAUUUGAGUGUGCCAGUUCUGUUUUUCUGGGUGUGAAUUUUAAAGAAUAUUGAGUUCUACCAGUAGAACUUUUGGGACUGAAGCCUGUUUGGGAUUUGUAAUGAGACCUUUUCCCCAAGAUAUUCUUGCUGCUUUUCUGGCUCUGACUUUAACAAGUUGGUUUCCAUAUAAUAGGCUUUUGGUUUGUUUGUUAAAUAUAUCUUUUGUAUGUGGGUUAAAAUACAUUUAAACAGCAGAAAAGAAGGUGUGUCCAGACAGCGAGUCAUUUAGUAUCUUAAUGAUACUCUCACUUUUAUGAGAUCUUCUGGUUUGCGGUUAUAAGUUCUUAAGUAUUUUCGUAUUCUCUGCAUCACGUAUGUGUCAGUGUUUAGUCCUGAAGGGCACGUUUGCCCCACAUGUUCAUUUCCUUUAAUGUGGUUCACUAUCGAACUCUGCUGCCUUGACCUCCUCCCGCCCUUGUCCGUCAUUCCAGCCUCUUGGCUCAUAGCCCCCAAAAUAGAAUGAUUCCCUUUAGUGAGCCCCUGUUACAAGCUUGUCACUCAUUCUUUCUCAAACCUAUAAUCCUCCGCAGUUGGUGCUGUUCAACCCCUUUUACUGGUGAGGACACUGAGGGAAGCUCAGGCUUGCUUGAGGCUUCCUCGUUCAGCGUACACUGUUCAGCUCAGCCGGCACGGCUGCAGAGCCCACGUACAGGUACAUGGCUGGGAGCGCGGGCUCAGGACCUGCACUGCAGUGGGAAAAGGGUAAGAUGUAAGGCUGGAAACAUGGAAGGCAUUACCGCUAGCCAUCUAAAGUUUCUGUGUGGGAAGACAGGGAAGAUUGUUAUUAGUGGUGAGAGGGAGUGGUUUCUACAAUAGAUGUUGUAAUAAACUCACAAGGGGAAAAAUAAAGAGCAAUAUUUGGACAUGUG
Non-coding RNA from Leptonychotes weddellii (Weddell seal), 2155 nucleotides. NCBI's taxonomy places the organism in Eukaryota, Metazoa, Chordata, Mammalia, Carnivora, Phocidae. The record is from RefSeq and is a predicted model, not a curated record.